UUGUGCUACUCGGCCCUCGGCUCUACGCCAUCCCGAGACCACACCAGCGCGGCCAACCCGCCUGCGUUGUGCUCCUCGGCCCUCGGCUCUACGCCAUCCCAAGACCACACCUGCGCGGUCACCCCGCCUGCGUUGUGCUCCUCGGCCCUCGGCUCUACGCCUCCCGAGAUCACACCUGCGCGGUCACCCCGCCUGCGUUAUGCUCCUCGGCCCUCGGCUCUACGCCUCUCGAGAUCACACCUGCGCGGUCACCCCGCCGGCGUUGUGCUCCUCGACCCUCGGCUUUACGCCUCCCGAGACCACACAUGCGCGGCCAACCCGCCUGCAUUGUGCUUCUCGACCCUCGGCUCUACGCCAUCCCGGGACCACACCUGCGCGAUCACCCCGCCUACGCUGUGCUCCUCAGCCCUCAUCGGCUCCAUCGGCCCCGAGUCUAACCCUGCUCGGCUUCCUGACUGAGUUGCGCACCUCGGCCCCAUGUUGCACGAGACACGUCCGCGCGGCUAGCCCGCCUAUGUCAUACGCCUCGGAUAUGCAUGACCAGCCCACCUGAAGUAAAAAGCCAUGCAUCAGACCCCCUGCAUGCAAGAACCGACGCAUAGCUCCUUUCGGGGGGGGCAUAUGAUAUGACAAAAAAUGGCAGACCCAGCACAGCCGAACGAGACAGAAGCAGGUAACGGUUGAAGCUCGCCCAUACCCUGCGAUCCCCCGGUCUCCCACGCAAACCCCUGAGCGACACACUGCUUGAGGCUCUCCAUACCCUGCAGCAGCUCGGCCUCCCACGCAACCCCAGCGGUAACAUCAAACCUCCUCUAUAAAUACCCCUGAGUCCUAAGCAAAAAGGGGAGGAACUCACUCAGACACAAAACACUCAGAGGCUCUUCUUCUGCCUCAUCCACAAUCCCCUCCACAUCUUUCUCUAACUUGAUCGUCGGAGGGGUCGGGCCGAGCUCCCGGCCCGACCUAUGUGCAGGUGCGAGACGGUGUCGCCUCUUCCCGAAGCUGCGGCGGAGCUGCCUCCCGACCAGAGCCGCCGACCCGAACCGCCGACCCGACCUGCCGAACCGACCUCCCGACCCGAACCACCGAGCUCGGCCGCCGGGAGACCUCAAGGAGCGCCCCCACGGAGAUCACCGCCUUCCGGACCCGAACCAAGCCGCGACGGCCCCGAGGCCACGGCUAAAAAAGUUACUUACCAGAACCAACCAUAUUGUAGUUGAUGUUUACAGUUCUUCCCAUUUGACUGUGGCAGAGCUGGAUACUUGGCUUUGGAAGCCUUCUGCUCAAGUUUUACCUUACAGUUACCUUAUGUUGUUAAUUGCCAAGAUGACAUCAUAUGCAACUAGCAUGGAGUUUCGUUUUGCAAAAUCAAACUUCAUGUCGAUCAGCAUGUCAUAUUAUGAAGUUGAACACAUGUUCUGAAGUUGUCCAUCAUGAGACAAGUCAAAAGAUGCUGAAACAAGACAUAUAAUGGGAUAGCUUUGAUCUACUCACUACCUGUUCUCAUUUUUUGUGACACAAGGGUUUUGUUUAGGUUUGGAGUUUUCUAUUUGGUUAAUGUUGGAAAACUCAUCUGUAUAUAGUCCUUGAGGCUGUAACAGCUUUUUAUUAGAUGUGGGACUGGAUGUCUGCUCCCAUUGGCCUCUACUUGUGCCAUUGGGAUGAACUGGUGGUCCCGGACAUGAAACAACCAUCAUCUUCACUUUGUCAGCUAAUUAAUUUUUUUUCAUUUAUCUGAUCAUUAAUGAUGGAACAAUUCAUAUAUAUAUAAAAUAAAAUAAAUAGUGAGUGUGGGUUGAUUGACUUCAUAAACUGUUAUUCAUGAGGCUUAAGACUGUCUUUAUCAUCAAGAUUUAUGUCAAUCUGCUUUAAGGGAUCUUUUUAAUACAGCUAGGUCCUUGACGGAAGUUCUAAGAAAGUAAUUGGAUUCAAGCAUGGAGGUUUUACAAGUUAUAUUUUCUAGGCUUUUAGAAAUGUCAAACUGGAGUAUUGUAAUUGGAUUUAAGCAUAGAGGUUUUACAAGUUAUAUUUCUAGGCUUUAGGAAUGUGAAACCGGAGUAUUG
This 2063-nucleotide long non-coding RNA is filed under the name Musa acuminata (dwarf banana). RNAcentral's name for it is "long non-coding RNA (MACU_LNC010979)". The stretch from base 1651 to 1758 matches the Rfam family "Small nucleolar RNA snoR99". Lineage: Eukaryota; Viridiplantae; Streptophyta; Magnoliopsida; Zingiberales; Musaceae. The record is from RNAcentral.